UCACCGUUCAAGACGGAGCACCACGAACUGGAGGAAGGGCGUGCAGGACGACGGAGCACCUUACAGCAUUGCGACGAAGGCUUUAUAACGCGUCAACAUCGACACACCGGCGGCAAUGCCACCAAAAAAUGCCGUCAAGAGGAACCAAAAAUCGUCGAAGCAGCGCGACAACUUCGACGAGGCCACCAUCGACGCCCUGGUCAUGGCUAUCGAGGGCAAGGCGAAGAAGGGCACCACCAAGUCGCAGCUGAAGCAGAAGGAGGAUAAGUCACUGAGUCGCGCGAAUGGUCAGGGCUACGUUCUGAGCGAGCAGAUGCGCAACGUGCUGCUGGCGCAGAUGCAGCAGCCGGCGGCGCAGGAGGAGCAGUACGUGAACGUGCCGGUGCCGUUGACGGGGGAGGAGAGGGGGUGGCAGGAGGUGGCGCCGAACCGGUACAUCCGGUAUGAGCAGUUUGGCGGCAGCGACGCGGAAAUGAACUUUAUCGUAAACCUCUUCACCGCGGAGCUGACGGAGCCGUACAGCAGCUUCACGUACCAGUACUUUGUCUUUGGCUGGCCCGACCUCUGCAUCACGGCAUUCGGCGUAGAGAGUGAGACAACGCCCGAUAGUUCGGUCGUCGGCGAGAAGGUCGGCGCCGUAGUGUCGCGCGUGACGCGCAAGGGCGCUGGUAUGCCGCUGCGCGGCUACGUGGCGAUGUUUGCCGUGGUGCCCAAGUUCCGCGGCUACCGCCUCGGCAGCCGUCUCGUCUCACUCACCGUCGAACUGAUGCGCGAAAAGGGCUGUGACGAGGUGUAUCUCGAGACGCCGACGUCGAACGUUCGCGCCCUGGGACUCUACCUGAACCUCGGCUUCGCCAAGACAAAGUACCUGCCGCGCUACUACCUUGACCACUCUGACGCCGUGCGUCUGAAGCUGUGGCUGAAGGAUGCCGUCCCAAAGUCUGUCCCAGAGACGGCCUCCACGGCUGGUGUGGAGAAGGCGUAGCCGGGACUUUGAGAGCUCGUCUUGAAUGAAAGGAGAAGGUGUAGGACUUUCAAGGCAGGAGGAUAGGGGGGGGGGUCGUGACGUGCUGCGGCGGGGAGGAGAGGGCUCAGUUGUCGGCGAGGGGGUGGCACGGCCACCCUAGCAUUCUCUGCUCUUCAUGCUACACUGCCCAACCCUCCCCCCUCGCUCCCACAGCCCGCAUCUCCUCUGCCACACUUUCUCUGCUUUUCCCCCGCCACCCCAACGCUUUUCUUCCUAUGUCGUCACUAAG
Molecule: unclassified non-coding RNA, 1256 nt
Filed under: Leishmania donovani
Lineage: Eukaryota; Euglenozoa; Kinetoplastea; Trypanosomatida; Trypanosomatidae
Description: gene:LdHU3.22.0640(CDS-product:Acetyltransferase_ (GNAT)_family_putative)
Source: RNAcentral